GCGCAGAAGAUUGUGAUCAGCUGGAAUUAGCCAAGUCGUUGAAACAAGAGGAGAAGAUGAUUCAACCGCACGAGGAGCGAGUCAAGUUUGUCAUCCCAGGAACCGCCGAGGUCAGAAGGGAAAGUGAAGGUUGAGGCCGCUUCAGAGACAAGUCGAGAACAAGUUUGUCAUCCCAGGAACCGCCGAGGUCAGAAGGGAAAGUGAAGGUUGAGGCCGCUUCAGAGACAAGUCGAGAACAGAGUGGUAGCCCUGUUAGAAGAGCAGUUUGAUACGUAUGCCUGAUUGUAUCUAG
This 292-nucleotide long non-coding RNA is filed under the name Lathyrus oleraceus (garden pea). RNAcentral's name for it is "Pisum sativum (pea) long non-coding RNA (PSAT_LNC041381)". The record is from RNAcentral. Lineage: Eukaryota; Viridiplantae; Streptophyta; Magnoliopsida; Fabales; Fabaceae.